RNAcentral lists this ribosomal RNA (253 nucleotides) under uncultured bacterium. RNAcentral's name for it is "partial 16S ribosomal RNA". It matches the Rfam family "Bacterial small subunit ribosomal RNA", at positions 524 to 776 of the family's 1533-position model. The record is from RNAcentral.
UACGUAGGGUCCGAGCGUUGUCCGGAAUUAUUGGGCGUAAAGGGCUCGUAGGCGGUUUGUCACGUCGGGCGUGAAAACUCAGGGCUCAACCCUGAGCGUGUGUCCGAUACGGGCAGACUAGAGGUAUGCAGGGGAGAACGGAAUUCCUGGUGUAGCGGUGGAAUGCGCAGAUAUCAGGAGGAACACCGGUGGCGAAGGCGGUUCUCUGGGCAUUACCUGACGCUGAGGAGCGAAAGUGUGGGGAUCAAACAGG